UAUAUCCUAGAUCUCUUUUGGUUUUUGGAUCAGAGCUGAGGCAAGCUUCUUUUACAAAUUUGUGCUGCAGUCUACUAAAAGAGCUGUUCCCUGCCAGGAGAAUAUUACAUACAGUUCUGAGAAAAAUGAACAGAGUCAGCUUGUUUGAGAGCUAACUGAUGCUUACUCACAACACUGAUAAGCCUGACAUUUACUGAGAAGUGCCACAAUUUUCAGUCCAAUGAAAAAUCCCAAGAGGAUGGUUUGUGGUUUUUUUUUUUUUUUUCAGUGAUGCUUCACAUUCUAUUGACUCAGGAUAAGCUGGAGUUUUCUGAAGUAUUUUAGUCAAAAAAAAUAAUGGAGCCCAACUCCUCCGCUUGAAUUACAUACAGAUGUACUAGUCUUCCUUGGCACAUUUGUUAAUGAUUGUGAUCAGAAGCUCUGGCCUCAAACCGCUCUGGGUAUGUGAUGCGAUAGCCAGGUGUGCAAGGAAGACAGUAGCUGAAGCAAUUGCUGAAGCAUUAGUGACUAUCCUGGAAGUUCUCGGAAGUGCAGGACUGAACCAGCGAUGCUGUAGCUGAGGGGAGGCAGAGGUUGGCAGCUGAGGGCUGGAGCUGCAGCCACAUCCUCAAAUUGCAGCAGUGGAGUUUGUUGCUGUGGUUGUGCUGGGGCUGCUGGGGCAAGAGCUGGGUUAGCUGAGUGCUGCAGUGCCUCUCAAGCUGGUGAAAGAGCUACAGGUGAGUGGUUUUUUUUCUUUUUUGGGAAAAAUCCUUCUG
RNAcentral lists this long non-coding RNA (755 nucleotides) under Anser brachyrhynchus (Pink-footed goose). Its description in RNAcentral is "lncRNA (ENSABRG00000021604.1)". The record is from RNAcentral. Lineage: Eukaryota; Metazoa; Chordata; Aves; Anseriformes; Anatidae.